RNAcentral lists this ribosomal RNA (774 nucleotides) under uncultured bacterium. RNAcentral describes it as "bacterial SSU rRNA". It matches the Rfam family "Bacterial small subunit ribosomal RNA", at positions 634 to 1397 of the family's 1533-position model. The record is from RNAcentral.
UGCCGAGCUUGGGUGCAGGAGAGGAGGGUGGAACUCACAGAGUAGCGGUGGAAUGCGUAGAUACUGUGAGGUACCCCGAUGGCGAAGGCAACCCUCUGGCCUGCUACCGACGCUGAAGCGCGAAAGCGUGAGGAGCAAAGAGGAUUAGAUACCCCCGUAGUCCACGCCCUAAACAAUGUUCACUUGGUGUCGGCCGCUUAUACUGGUCGGUGCCGAAGCUAACGCGUUAAGUGAACCGCCUGAGGAGUACGGCCGCAAGGCUAAAACUCAAGAGAAUUGACGGGUCCCUGCACAAGCGGUGGAGCACGUGGUUUAAUUCGAUGAUAAACGAAGAACCUCACCCAGGCUUGACAUACUAGUGGUAGGAACCUGAAAGGGGGACGACUCUGCCUUCGGGUAGAGAGCUAGUACAGGUGAUGCAUGGCUGUCGUCAGCUCGUGUCGUGGGAUGUUGGGUUCAGUCCCGAAACGAGCGCAACCCUUGUCGUUAGUUGCCAGCGGGUAAUGCCGGGGACUCUAACGAGACUGCUGGUGAAUAGCCGGAGGAAGGCGGGGAUGACGUCAAGUCAUCAUGUCCCUUACGCCUGGGGCGACACACAUGCUACAAUGGGGGGUACAGAGGGUCGCAAUCCCGCAAGGGGGAGCCAAUCCAUAAAAACCCCUCCCAGUUCGGAUUGAGGUUUGCAACUCGACCUCAUGAAGCCGGAAUCGCUAGUAAUCGCGGGUCAGCCAUACCGCGGUGAAUAUGUACUCAGGGAUUGUACACACCGCCCGU